CACCUAUAAAUAGUUCAUAAUUAAUCUUAAAUCGGCAAAUUUGCCAUAUUGCCCCAACUUGUUGAAACGUCCGUAGAAAUUCAUAAAAACAACCAUAAAAGGGUCCCGAGAUGAUUACCUUAGUUAACCAAGUGUAAACCUUGAAGAAACACCAAUAACUACAAAUUUAUAUCUUCAAAAACCAGCUCCAAACGUAGCUAAU
This 202-nucleotide long non-coding RNA is filed under the name Solanum tuberosum (potato). RNAcentral's name for it is "long non-coding RNA (STUB_LNC004729)". The record is from RNAcentral. Lineage: Eukaryota; Viridiplantae; Streptophyta; Magnoliopsida; Solanales; Solanaceae.